CGUGGUCAUGAGUCUGCAGUGGUACAAAUUCGCAAUGAUUGCAGUUUUUCUAGUUGAUAGUUAAUGUUCGUAUUAGUUGACUGUUAGUUGUUCAAGUUGACUUGUAAAAGUAUGAAUGGACUUGCUUCCCUGGAAAGAAAACUGAGUUUGUGUUCUACAGUACAAAAGUUAUGAGACACAAAUCAGACAAAUGUUUACUACUACAG
RNAcentral lists this long non-coding RNA (206 nucleotides) under Mytilus galloprovincialis (Mediterranean mussel). Lineage: Eukaryota; Metazoa; Mollusca; Bivalvia; Mytilida; Mytilidae. The record is from RNAcentral.